RNAcentral lists this ribosomal RNA (301 nucleotides) under uncultured bacterium. RNAcentral's name for it is "partial 16S ribosomal RNA". It matches the Rfam family "Bacterial small subunit ribosomal RNA", at positions 509 to 807 of the family's 1533-position model. The record is from RNAcentral.
CAGUCGCCGCGGUAAUACGAAGGGGGCUAGCGUUGCUCGGAAUGACUGGGCGUAAAGGGCGCGUAGGCGGCGGCCAAAGUCAGGCGUGAAAUUCCCGGGCUCAACCUGGGGGCUGCGUUUGGUACUUGGUUGCUUGAGUGGGGAAGAGGGUCGUGGAAUUCCCAGUGUAGAGGUGAAAUUCGUGGAUAUUGGGAAGAACACCGGUGGCGAAGGCGGCGACCUGGUCCUUUACUGACGCUGAGGCGCGAAAGCGUGGGGAGCAAACAGGAUUAGAUACCCGAGUAGUCCCUGUUUCUUAUAC